Long non-coding RNA from Anopheles darlingi, 3297 nucleotides. RefSeq lists it as uncharacterized. Lineage: Eukaryota; Metazoa; Arthropoda; Insecta; Diptera; Culicidae. The transcript has 3 exons. The record is from RefSeq and is a predicted model, not a curated record.
UUCAAUUGGCUAGCAAGGUUGCCUCUUAAAGAAUCUAUGGGAACUUAGGUGACUAGCAUUUUCUGCCUUAAAUGCUUCAUUAUUAUGUCGAGCACUGGCCGAUUGAUUGCAUUUUUAUUGAGAAAUCGACGAAGUGAAUGCCUGAAGGUUGUGGACGAAGUACUUACAGCAAGUAUUUAAUGAUGUCUUGCAUUUAAUCAUGGAACAAUUAUAAAAGUAAGUCCUUUUUUCGAUUUGGGGUUGGAAAACCUUCAUCGGCACCUAUAGGAGGUCGCCAAUUUCAAUUCAUCCGUUUUUCUAGCGACAGAAAGGGGUUCAUAGGUAUGGGCCGACUGUUUGGAAGCUGGCAUUCAUCCGUCUUCAAGAGUAGAACAGUUUCCCAGAGUAGAAUCACAGGCAGUUAUUCUAUAUACACGCACCAACCGAGCUUGGAUUUAUCGGUUAUUGGUGCCUAAUUUCGAUCCAAACGUGUUCUCCAUCUAGCGAGCAGAUUGGCGUGCUCUAGUCCGAUGAGCAGUCCCGGUUUAACGUUUUUGUAAAAUUUAAUCAGAAGACCAGCAAGGUGUGGAAACUGUUCAGAUAGCUGUUCGUAGUCCAUCGAGUGAGCCGGUAUCUCCAGGUUACUCACAGUUCUCACAUUUCUAAAAUGGUAGCCUCGUUUAUCUUGUCCUUGAAUUUCCACGCUAACUCGCCGCGAGCCCUCUUCUUUUCUAAGGCCUGACUCAUUCGCUAUCUGGUCGUCCAAUAGCGUCACAGGCAACAUCUAAAGCCUUGAAACUGGUGAAAUUUGCAAUAUAAUGGUUUGAUACACUGCAAUGGAAGCAUCGUCUGUCAUCACUCGUUCGAUCUGUUUUUUUCCACGUAGGCGUGCAGUCUUUCAUUUUGAUUCGGCCUCUCUUGCCGCGACUGUCUCUCCACUCCAUAAAACUCCGAUGCCAACUCAACAUGUUUCGUCAGAAAUUGGUUGAGCGUGCCAUCUGUGACUUCCUUGUAAUCCUGUUUGUAUUUCAACCGUUGCAGCUUCAUGCUCGUGGGUAAUUUUGCUGUUAGUUCUUGUAUCAGCAUCGGGUUUUGUAGGUGCUGCUUUUGUUUGGCCGCUAUCAUGUGCUCCUUCAAGUUCUGCGCUGCCAGGCCGUAUGUGAUGAUGGAGGACUUUCUUUAUUUUAGUCAACAGCGCGUUCAGGAGAAUUUCAGGCCUUCCAAAUAGCUUUUCCAGCGUUGCCAUUACUGAUGGCACUGUUGUCGGCAAUCAUAAUCUACCGCUUAUAAGGCAUCGUUGUAAGCGAACCAAACUCUCUGCUCGUGUGUACCCACACUCUUUUGUACUGUUGGUAUAUGCACUGUGGAAUAUCAGCCAUUCCUCUUGCCGGCCGUUAAAUUUGGGCAAUUCUUUAUCCAUCAUUUUCCUCGCCGCUGCCUGUGCCUUUGUUGGUCCAAUCAACAGUUCGGCUUACGCUUCGCACCUACCGCUUCACCGGAUUUCUUCUUGAGGAACAUCGAGCUCGUGUUCUUCUUCCGCAAGUUUGAGCAUGAUCGCGGCUCUUUGGUUUCAGGAUGAAGCAAAAGAGGCGACAGAGUGACUCGUUUUUCUCACCCUUUGAAACACCAUCCUCUUGCGACCGUUUGCACAUGGCUUUCUGCACCUUCUGCGACACGUCUAUUCACAUCUAUAUUCUGCCUGUAUGCCUGCCUGACGUCGACCGCCGCGCUACUGCCUAUUAUUACCGAGGGCCGCACGUCCUAAUUAACUGUUGCGGAAUUGGAAUGGUUCUUUUAUUAAUUCUUGCAAUGGUUCGGGGAAUGGUAUACCAGGUCUACCAAUAUGAAAUGAGCCGUUUUGUGUGAACACAGAAACGCUUUUUUUAUUAUGGAUCGGCAAAUCGUAUUUUAUUCAAAGUACUGUCCAUUGUUGGUGACACAUUUCAUCCAUCUUUCAGAUAGUUUAUGUAUUCCUCGACAAAAAAAUUGUUGAUCUUUUGAUCCAAACCAGUCAGCGACCCAAAUUUUGUCCUCCUCAUAGCACUUGAAGUGCUGCUCACCCAACGCGUAUGCCAUAGAUAAAAAUAAAUGAUAAUCGGAAGAUGCCAAGUCUGGUGAAUACGGCGGGUGGGGUAGCAGCUGCCAACCAAGUUCCUUUACGAUAUCCUGAACAGCUGUUUGCUGUUUUUACUGCGGCUUUGCGUACCACACCGUCGCGAGAAGCUUUAGUCUUUGGACCACGAUUCCACACGGCCACCAGUUUCUGGGAUGAUUUUCAUCUACGAUAAGCACAGGAUCACCAACCUGUAUUGCGCGGACAUUAGUGAACCAUUUCGUUGGUUUACGGAUGGUCGGCAAGUAUUACCGAAUCCACCGUUCCCAGAGCAGAUUGUUGUGUCGCUGCGCUUUUUUUCAUGUGUUUUUUUUUAGGUUUGCGGUGUCUGCCUGGUAAUAUUAGUGGCUUCACUCCCGAAGAGGAGGAACCCAAGAGGAAGUGGUUAGGAGUGAGUGGGGCCUCGUCGUCCCUGUCUAAUGGUACGUGUGUUUCUAAUUGUUUGCCCUAGGCUAUACAAUUGUGCUACUUACAGGCUAUAGCUUAUAUACUAAGGGAGGGUAGAGCGUGUUAGACGGGAGUGGAAGGAGGAGAUUCGGAGGUGGAAAUCGAACAGAACACGAACGGCAUUGAACUCCUCUAGUGCUCGGAAAAGAGGAUUAUUAGACACGAAGCGGGUCCGGCGGGGAUGAGAAAUGGAGGUCUGUCACGGGAGCGUAGAAAGGGAGUGCGGAAAGAAGAGAGGGGGCGUCGGUGUUGUGGAGGAGGAGGUUGGCAAUGAAGAGGGACUGGGCAUGCGAAUGGCGGGAUGCGAUAGUGGGUAGGCCAAUCAUACGACAGCGCAUGUCGUAAGGUGGCAUUGUCAGGUAGGAGCCACCGAGAAGUCGGCGGGCUAUCAUCGCUGUAAAGGUCCGCUGGACCCCCUCCAACCUGCCCAUAGCGGACGCCGUGGAGGGUGACCAGACCACGCAGGCAUACUCGAGGAUCGACCGAACCCAGCAGCAGCAAUAACGAGCCCUCAGGCACCCAGGGUCCCGAAUGUCGGAUGACAUCCGGUAGAUGAGGCUGUUGCCGAUAGUAAUUGAGACCGCCGCGGAGUUGUAUUUUUAAUUCGCUUUAUUUAGUUCACUUGCCUCACAAGCGAAUAAAAUUAUACGUACUCAGUACGGCCGGCAAAUCUGAUCUGGUCCUAGUUGGUUUCGGUUCCCGUUAUCUGCUCGAAAAUGCUGUCAGUUGGCACCGGUGAAGGGGGUACGCCACUAUUU